RNAcentral lists this ribosomal RNA (491 nucleotides) under uncultured bacterium. RNAcentral's name for it is "partial 16S ribosomal RNA". It matches the Rfam family "Bacterial small subunit ribosomal RNA", at positions 29 to 506 of the family's 1533-position model. The record is from RNAcentral.
AGUGAACGCUGGCGGUAGGCCUAACACAUGCAAGUCGAACGGCAGCACAGUAAGAGCUUGCUCUUACGGGUGGCGAGUGGCGGACGGGUGAGGAAUACAUCGGAAUCUACUUUUUCGUGGGGGAUAACGUAGGGAAACUUACGCUAAUACCGCAUACGACCUACGGGUGAAAGCAGGGGAUCUUCGGACCUUGCGCGAUUGAAUGAGCCGAUGUCGGGUUAGCUAGUUGGCGGGGUAAAGGCCCACCAAGGCGACGAUCCGUAGCUGGUCUGAGAGGAUGAUCAGCCACACUGGAACUGAGACACGGUCCAGACUCCUACGGGAGGCAGCAGUGGGGAAUAUGGGACAAUGGGCGCAAGCCUGAUCCAGCCAUACCGCGUGGGUGAAGAAGGCCUUCGGGUUGUAAAGCCCUUUUGUUGGGAAAGAAAAGCAGCAGGUUAAGACCCCGCUGUUCUGACGGUACCCAAAGAAUAAGCACCGGCUAACUUCGU